This 66-nucleotide transfer RNA is filed under the name Cipangopaludina lecythis ampullacea. RNAcentral's name for it is "tRNA-Tyr". The record is from RNAcentral. Lineage: Eukaryota; Metazoa; Mollusca; Gastropoda; Architaenioglossa; Viviparidae.
UUGUUAAUAGUAUAAAUAUAUACAUUUGAUUGUAAAUCAAGCCAUGGAAAAAACAUCCUUAACAAA